RNAcentral lists this unclassified non-coding RNA (221 nucleotides) under fungal sp. RNAcentral describes it as "partial internal transcribed spacer region". The stretch from base 1 to 46 matches the Rfam family "Eukaryotic small subunit ribosomal RNA", at positions 1786 to 1831 of the family's 1831-position model. Lineage: Eukaryota; Fungi. The record is from RNAcentral.
AAGUCGUAACAAGGUUUCCGUAGGUGAACCUGCGGAAGGAUCAUUAAAGAGUUAGGGUCUCUCAGGCCCGACCUCCCAACCCUUUGUUUACUGAACCAUUGUUGCUUCGGUGGGUCCGUCUCGCGCCCGCCGGGGGACCCAAACUCUUGUUUUUAACGAGUAUCUUCUGAGUAACGUUUUUAAAUAAAUAAAAACUUUCAACAACGGAUCUCUUGGUUCUG